AGCUGUUAAGUUUUAAACAUAUGUUUUGAAAACAUAAAUAGGAGUUACCUCCAACAGUUC
Molecule: transfer RNA, 60 nt
Filed under: Pseudoniphargus daviui
Lineage: Eukaryota; Metazoa; Arthropoda; Malacostraca; Amphipoda; Allocrangonyctidae
Description: tRNA-Ser
Source: RNAcentral